This is a long non-coding RNA of Chelonia mydas (Green sea turtle), 1866 nucleotides long. RefSeq lists it as uncharacterized. NCBI's taxonomy places the organism in Eukaryota, Metazoa, Chordata, Testudines, Cheloniidae. The record is from RefSeq and is a predicted model, not a curated record. The transcript is spliced from 2 exons.
CAGUGAGCUCCAGAAGUCCCAGGUUCGAUCCCACCCAGCGCCGACUGGGGUCUGUCGGUGUUACACUGGCACUUCCACGUCCUCCAGGCAAGGUGGGCCUGCUUUGGGAUGACAUGACGGGCUUCAGCCUCCCAGGGCACUGUGCUCUUGGUCCUAUGUGAACCCAGCAGGGUUGGGAGAGCAGGGCACACGAGAGCAUCUACAAUCUGCAUGCCUGGUUUAAACACACCUCGGCAAUGUGCUGCUUUCCUGAAAGGGCAGCACCAGCCGGGUUAGACGGCACAGAUGUCAGGAGCCAGUGCCAGCAGCCGUCUCGAGGGAGCAGCCGGGAAUGGGGAGCCUUGGGCUGGGCCAGCACCAGGGAAUCUCAUGUACCCUGCCCCUCCUCAGACUAUGGCAGCCUGUUUUCUGAGGGGAGGAGGGCAGUGCCUCCCUUCCUGCACCCCACCACUGAGGGGUUGCUUGCUGGCGGAGCGAGCCGUGGGUCCACAGAGGCAGACGUCCGGUCUGACAGAACUUCCAUCAGAGAUCGAGCCCGUCCCCAGGGCCCUGCAGGCAGCACCGCGAAAGCACUGGUGCACAGCCAGGGGGGAAAGAGCAGGGAACAAAAGAGAAAACGCUGCCUGUCUGGGAACCUGCCCAGAGAGAGAGAGCGAUAGAGACACGCCAGAGCUAAAGCCCAAGCAGAGAAAAAAAAAAGAAAGAAAGGGGGCCCUAGCAACCAGCAUGUCCCGCACCUCUUCCCACCUUGAAAUCCAUCUCUUCUCCUCCUCCUGGCUCCUGCUUCCCCUGCCAGCACCGGGGAGGAGAGCCGGCAGUGCCAACCAAACCCACACACAUCCGGCAAGCCCUACUGCAUGAAUUUGGGGCUGGUGUGGCAACACCCUGGGAACCUGCUGGUGAAGUUUGCGCGCACACACACACACACACACACACAGCCCUUUGUGAAGAAUACCCCUGCCUUGGCACCACACCAACUCGCACACAACCCAAUACCGGGAACAAUGUGCCUUUUCCUAUUCUGCACACGCGCCAGGAGCAAAGCGACCGCAAGUCACGGCGGCGAAGGGGGCGAGUGGUUUGAGUUAUUUUAAGUUUCCCUCCUCCCCCCCAAAGCCUGUGAUGUGCCAAAUUUUUCCACCUCCUUUAAGGACACUUAAAAUAACUCACCCGGGCGACCUGCAGCCGGAUUGCCUGCUCCGCACACUGCCUUUGAUCACCACCACCCCCUUGGAAAAAGCCAAAAACCAGGCAUUAACCAGCCAACCAGCCCCCACCCUCCCGCACCCCAUCUGUCUCGGUUAUUUAAUGAAGCAGACGGCAUCACCACCAGCCCAGGGAAAGAAAGGGAAAUUCAGAACCCAGCUCAACCAGCAAACAGCGCAGCACUUAAGCCACGUUGCUGUAAGGCAAGAGAGAAAAGCACACCCCUUAGUCGAUCUUCCUCCCCCCCCACCAAAAAAAAUACAACUCGUUCUGGCAACGUUUCUAGGACAGCAGGCUCUAUAGAUACUUUAUCCCCUUGGAGCCAGGCAGCCCUGACAACAGCACAACACUGAAAACCAGCGGUGGCCACGAGCACCAGAUUAGCACCCCCUGCUGCCUUCAUCUGACAGCCAGCAUCCCCUGGUAGCCCAGUCCCCCCCACAUCUGCAGCCAUUCCCCCCAGGUGAGGGGGUAGCCGGAGAGUUCUGUCUUGUCACUGCAUGGAGGGGGCUUAAUCCCCCCCCCCCUUUUAAAAGCAAGAUUCCCCCAGCUGAUCUUCCUCUGUUCAGCUUCAAAGCAAACCACUCUGGCAUCAGCAGCACCAAUUCCCCACAGCAUCACCACACCGUACGGGCAGUUGGAGCGGGGGGGGGGAGAAAA